This is a long non-coding RNA of Aethina tumida (small hive beetle), 338 nucleotides long. RefSeq lists it as uncharacterized. The transcript is spliced from 2 exons. Lineage: Eukaryota; Metazoa; Arthropoda; Insecta; Coleoptera; Nitidulidae. The record is from RefSeq and is a predicted model, not a curated record.
GUCAAAUAUCUCCAGGACGCCAUCGUCACCCUCAAACCUAAAACCGAAAUUGUCACUUUAAUAACCGCAAAUAUUGUUGGAUUAUUGUGUUUGACUUACACUUCAUUACAGUCAUCAGUCUCCAUUUUGAUUAAGUAUGCAGAACAAGGAACAGAGCUGCCACUGACUGAAGUUUCUAUCGACUACAUUUUUGAUACAAGAAAACAGGAGCAGGAAUCAAAGCAGGAACAACAGAAAUUGGUCUCAAAAGCUUUAAGUUUGCACAUGAUGGCUGAUUUAACACAUGAUGAUUUGUUUUUAUUGAGCUGUGAAAUUAAUUGUAAAUAUUUUAAAGUUUA